ACCUGCUUGAUGGACGUGACGCACUUACGAUGGAUCUUCCCUAGUAACGGCGGAGUGAAGCGGGAAGAGCUCAAAUUUGUAAUCUGGCGGUCUUCGGCCGUCCGAGUUGUAGUCUGGAGAAGCGUCUUCCGUGCCGGACCGUGUACAAGUCCCUUGGAACAGGGCGUCGUAGAGGGUGAGAAUCCCGUCUCUGACACGGACCGCCGGUGCUCUGUGAUGCGCUCUCGAAGAGUCGAGUUGUUUGGGAAUGCAGCUCAAAAUGGGUGGUAAAUUCCAUCUAAAGCUAAAUAUUGGCGAAAGACCGAUAGCGAACAAGUACCGUGAGGGAAAGAUGAAAAGCACUUUGGAAAGAGAGUUAAACAGUACGUGAAAUUGUUGAAAGGGAAACGCUUGAAGUCAGUCGCGUCUUCCGAGACUCAGCUGGGUUUUUUACCCGGGGUGUACUUCUCGGUGUCGACGGGCCAGCAUCGAUUUCGACCGUCGGAGAAAGGCUCUGGGAAUGUGGCACCUUCGGGUGUGUUAUAGCCCUCUGUCGUAUGCGACGGUCGGGAUCGAGGACCGCAGCGUGCCCUUCACCGGGCCGGGGUUCGCCCACGUAACGCGCUUAGGAUGCUGGCGUAAUGGCUUUAAGCAACCCGUUUUG
RNAcentral lists this ribosomal RNA (643 nucleotides) under Gloeocantharellus pallidus. RNAcentral's name for it is "eukaryotic LSU rRNA". It matches the Rfam family "Eukaryotic large subunit ribosomal RNA", at positions 40 to 656 of the family's 3401-position model. Lineage: Eukaryota; Fungi; Basidiomycota; Agaricomycetes; Gomphales; Gomphaceae. The record is from RNAcentral. RNAcentral also lists the same sequence under 1 other name.